UGGGGAAUAUUGCACAAUGGGCGCAAGCCUGAUGCAGCCAUGCCGCGUGUAUGAAGAAGGCCUUCGGGUUGUAAAGUACUUUCAGCGGGGAGGAAGGGAGUAAAGUUAAUACCUUUGCUCAUUGACGUUACCCGCAGGAGAAGCACCGGCUAACUCCGUGCCAGCAGCCGCGGUAAUACGGAGGGUGCAAGCGUUAAUCGGAAUUACUGGGCGUAAAGCGCACGCAGGCGGUUUGUUAAGUCAGAUGUGAAAUCCCCGGGCUCAACCUGGGAACUGCAUCUGAUACUGGCAAGCUUGAGUCUCGUAGAGGGGGGUAGAAUUCCAGGUGUAGCGGUGAAAUGCGUAGAGAUCUGGAGGAAUACCGGUGGCGAAGGCGGCCCCCUGGACGAAGACUGACGCUCAGGUGCGAAAGCGUGGGGAGCAAACAGG
This 429-nucleotide ribosomal RNA is filed under the name Chloroflexota bacterium. RNAcentral's name for it is "Chloroflexi bacterium partial 16S ribosomal RNA". It matches the Rfam family "Bacterial small subunit ribosomal RNA", at positions 355 to 776 of the family's 1533-position model. The record is from RNAcentral. Lineage: Bacteria; Bacillati; Chloroflexota.